This 440-nucleotide ribosomal RNA is filed under the name uncultured bacterium. RNAcentral's name for it is "partial 16S ribosomal RNA". It matches the Rfam family "Bacterial small subunit ribosomal RNA", at positions 338 to 795 of the family's 1533-position model. The record is from RNAcentral.
CCUACGGGGGACAGCAGUGGGGGAUAUUGCACAAUGGGGGAAACCCUGAUGCAGCGACGCCGCGUGGGUGAAGAAGCGCCUCGGCGCGUAAAGCCCUGUCAGCAGGGAAGAAAAUGACGGUACCUGAAGAAGAAGCCCCGGCUAACGAAGUGCCAGCAGCCGCGGUAAUACGUAGGGGGCAAGCGUUAUCCGGAUUUACUGGGUGUAAAGGGGGCGCAGACGGCGAUGCAAGCCAGGAGUGAAAGCCCGGGGCCCAACCCCGGGACUGCUCUUGGAACUGCGUGGCUAGAGUGCAGGAGGGGCAGGCGGAAUUCCUAGUGUAGCGGUGAAAUGCGUAGAUAUUAGGAGGAACACCAGUGGCGAAGGCGGCCUACUGGACGGUGACUGACGCUGAGGCUCGAAAGCGUGGGGAGCGAACAGGAUUAGAUACCCUUGUAGUC